This 405-nucleotide ribosomal RNA is filed under the name uncultured bacterium. RNAcentral describes it as "partial 16S ribosomal RNA". It matches the Rfam family "Bacterial small subunit ribosomal RNA", at positions 28 to 526 of the family's 1533-position model. The record is from RNAcentral.
GACGAACGCUGGCGGCGUGCCUAAUACAUGCAAGUCGAGCGCAGCGGGGACGGGUGAGUAAGACGGGGAUAACCUCCUUUAAGUAUGCAACAACGUCGGGAAACAGGAGCAAAACUGGAUACUUAUGUGUCGCCCCGCGCUGCAUUCGCUGGUUGGUAAGGUAAUGGCUUACCAAGGCAACGAUGCAUAGCCGACCUGAGAGGGUGAUCGGCCACACUGGAACUGAGACACGGCCCAGACUCCUACGGGAGGCAGCAGUAGGGAAUCUUCCGCAAUGGGCGAAAGCCUGACGGAGCAACGCCGCGUGAGUGAAGAAGGUCUUCGGAUCGUAAAACUCUGUUAUUAGAGAAGCGGUACCUAAUCAGAAAGCCACGGCUAACUACGUGCCAGCAGCCGCGGUAAUUC